CCCCUAGAUGUUCUGGGCCGCACGCGCGCUACACUGAACAGUUCAACAAGUCUUAACCUUGGCCGAUAGGUCUGGGCAAUCUUUGAACGCUGAUCGUGAUGGGGAUAGACUUUUGCAAUUUUUGGUCUUCAACGAGGAAUUCCUAGUAAACGCAAGUCAUCAACUUGCAUUGAUUACGUCCCUGCCCUUUGUACACACCGCCCGUCGCACCUACCGAUUGAAUGGUCCGGUGAAGCCUCCGGAUUGGCGUGCACCCUCGGGUGCUGCCGAGAAGUUGGCUAAACCUUACCAUUUAGAGGAAGGUGAAGUCGUAACA
This 316-nucleotide ribosomal RNA is filed under the name uncultured eukaryote. RNAcentral describes it as "partial 18S ribosomal RNA". It matches the Rfam family "Eukaryotic small subunit ribosomal RNA", at positions 1470 to 1796 of the family's 1831-position model. The record is from RNAcentral.